GCGGGAGUAGCUCAGUUGGUAGAGCGCAACCUUGCCAAGGUUGAGGGUCGCGAGUUCGAGACUCGUCUCCCGCUCCA
Molecule: transfer RNA, 77 nt
Filed under: Candidatus Dactylopiibacterium carminicum
Lineage: Bacteria; Pseudomonadati; Pseudomonadota; Betaproteobacteria; Rhodocyclales; Rhodocyclaceae
Description: tRNA-Gly
Rfam family: tRNA
About the family: Transfer RNA (tRNA) molecules are approximately 80 nucleotides in length. Their secondary structure includes four short double-helical elements and three loops (D, anti-codon, and T loops).
Source: RNAcentral